This 244-nucleotide ribosomal RNA is filed under the name uncultured bacterium. RNAcentral describes it as "partial 16S ribosomal RNA". It matches the Rfam family "Bacterial small subunit ribosomal RNA", at positions 89 to 334 of the family's 1533-position model. The record is from RNAcentral.
UGGCGACCGGCGCACGGGUGCGUAACGCGUAUGCAACCUACCUUUAACAGGGGAGUAACACUAAGAAAUUGGUACUAAUACCCCAUAAUAUCAUAGAAGGCAUCUUUUAUGGUUGAAAAUUCCGAUGGUUAGAGAUGGGCAUGCGUUGUAUUAGCUAGUUGGUGGGGUAACGGCUCACCAAGGCGACGAUACAUAGGGGGACUGAGAGGUUAACCCCCCACACUGGUACUGAGACACGGACCAG